GUGUGUCAGAGAGAGAACAACUGAGCGUGCGCGUGUUGGGUUUUGGUAAAUAGCCUAGACUAUCUGCAAACUUAGAAUCUUCUUGCCUCAGCCUUUCCGGUUCCAGAAUUAGGCAUAUUUCACCACAAUUGGCUUGGCUUGGUCUUUAUUAAUGAAGCAGGGUGUUUACAGGUUUUAAAUUAGGAGUCAGAGCCGACAGUGCUAUGCUUUAUAGCAUUUCUGUAGCUUUCACCCAUGAGUGUGAGUUUUGGAACUCUGGAGUUAGAUAAACCAUUCCCUUAGGUAAGAACACCAGACAAGAACACACAUGCCAAGUUUUUGUUAAAGGCGAGCGGUUUGAAUAUGGCUUCCUGGCCUUGUGAUGCAUUUGUUCCAAGAUAGGUCAACACCAGGAAGCAGAGCUGUACACCUUUUUCUUAGUAGAGAAAUAAUGGGAUGAUAAGAAAAAGACAGGACAUUGCAGUCUCCUGGUAGGUGGGCUACCGUUUGAAUAGCUAAUAAUGGGCAGUGUCUCGGCUGCCAGUGUCUUUACUGCCAACUGUAUGUGAGGUCCCUUGCCGUUUUACGUUUUCAGUAGUAACAGUACUGGAUAAUGAAACUUGCUCGCCCUUGGGGAAAGGCACAGGUCUUUUUGGACUUCUUGCAGGUAGUGUCUUAGAGGCCUGGCUUAGGCAAGCAUGCUUGCUUUAUUUGCUGGAUUUAUUUGCUUUCCAGAGUGGCUCUGGAUUGGGAUUGGGGUGUCAACAGGAUACUUGCCCAAAUCGGUUGUUUUGUUUGCUCCUAUAUGUCCUGACAUAUUAAUGUCUGGAUUCAGUUGUAUUCCAUUUUGAAUAUUUUAAGACUCUGUAGUUUCCUUUCUGCUUCAUGAUGAGAAUCAUUUGGGAUCAGAGGGAAGUAAUUGUCUUGUCGUGCCCUUUCUACGUGUUUUUAAAGUUUCUGGUGAUUUAGUUGGCUUUGGGAACCAAUGUUUAAACCAACUUCUUUUUCUUUUAUUAAAUGUGUUAUUUUGAUAAUUUCA
RNAcentral lists this long non-coding RNA (1018 nucleotides) under Rattus norvegicus (Norway rat). RNAcentral describes it as "long non-coding RNA NONRATT026944". The record is from RNAcentral. Lineage: Eukaryota; Metazoa; Chordata; Mammalia; Rodentia; Muridae.